AAAACCGAGUGAAAGAAAAAAAAUCAAUUAAAAAAUCAGAUGCUCUCUACUAGGGUUUUAUCCCAACCCCUUUGCGCCGCUGCCCGUUCGCCAUGGUUUCGCCGCAACUAGUGGCCGGAGGCUCGCCGGAUUGGGUUUUUAACCCUUUUCGGAGCAGAUUCGAAGGCAAGGUAAGCCUCACCCCUUUUCCCUUUACUGCUAUUUUUUGUUAAAUAAAAUAAAAAAUACAAAAGAAAUGCAAUCACCUUUUGAAAAAUAUUCUUUGUAUUCUCAAUAUUCUCUAUGUGUUUCUCGUAUUUUACACUGAAAAAAACCCCCUUUUACCGAUUUUCAUGGCUUUAAAUAGCCGAAAUGGAAAAGAUAAAUGAAAUGGAAAAGAUAACUCAACAAAAUCAAAAAAGAGAUCUAUUCUGUUUUGUUGGCAUGAUUUUUGCUAUCUUGUUGAUGCAGGUACUGUUGGAGGAGAAUACGCGCGACGUGGAGGCGCAACUCUCGCGGAAGAGGCCUCUAGCUCCGAGUUGUGCGCCGCUUGGGACUGCUGGAGGUGGGGGCUGCUGCUAGGGUUUCUCAACCCUUCCAUUUUCCAUUAGUUUCGAGCCUGGAUUAGGAAUUAGCUAUUGGGCCCGUUUAUUGGGCUUGUAUUUUUUGUUUGGGUUUAUUCGUUAAUAGGCCAGGCCAAAAUUGGUAUUACAUUUCUAAUAUAUAAAUGUUAUGUGUUUUAUAUGAAAUUGAAGAGAAAGAAAAGAAAGGAAAGGACCUAAUUGAAGAAAAAGUAAAAGAGAAGGCUAAGGAGUGAAGGAAGAUAUCAUCUCAACCUUUUUGUUGUAAGUACUACAAGGUUAUUUUUAUUUUAAAUUAUUUUAUUUAAAUGCCUAUAUUAUAGUAUAGAAUUAUUUAGAAAUAAAAUAAAAUAAAGUAAAAUAAAAGAUUAUGGAGCUAUGAAAUUUGUAAAGAAAAUUAUAGAUGGAAAGUAUAUAGUGGUAUAUUGAUUGAACAUUAAGAAAAUAUUGUGACAAAAGUAUAUAUAUGUGAAAAUGGUGUGAUAAUUGUGAAUUGUGAAAUGUGCCCUAAAUUGUAAUGAUGGAGAAAUGAGAAAUCUUUUUCGAAAUAAUUCUAUAAAGUAUUUAAUUGAAUGAGAUUCAGUUUUAAUGCCCAAGUAGAUGAAAUUUAGAACUACCAGGAUAGUAGUGGCAUGCCAUUAAGGAACUUUAGCGCGCUCUCUGAUUAUUAGCACGUUAGUGCUCUCUGACUACUAGCACGUUGGUGCUCUCUGAUUUUAGCACGUCAGUGCUCUCUGUUUAGCACAUCUGUGCUCUCUGUAUAGCACUUUAGUGCUCUCUGUUCAUUAGUGCAUACCAAUGCACCUCUGUAUUUGUUCCGUAUAUUCGGUGUGUUCUAUAAAAUCUACUUUGGGCUAAGAUUAUGAUUUGUGGAUAAAAGCGAAUCAUUAAAAUGCUAAGGUAAGUUUUAUGAAGCUUAUACGUACAUAAAUACGUAAUAACAGAAAGAGAUUGACAUAUUUUGUUUAUAUUUGUUUAUCAGUUUAUUUCUUGUAGUGCUUACUAAGCCUUCACCGGCUUAACGCGUUUAAUUUUAACGCGUAGGUACAGUUUGUCUCGAAGAGGUAAAGUCAGGAUAGAAGAUCUCUCAUCUCAUCACAUCCUCAAGAGCUUCAAAAGUAGGUACCAUAUUUUGAAUUAAAAUGGCAUGUACAUAGACAGUCAGUUAUGCUUCCAUGUGUUAGGAACUAAAAUGUAAACUCUUGGACUUCUAUAUAUUUUUAAGUACUUUUCGUAUUUUGGUAUAUAUAUGAAAUGAAUUAGUAAAACUAUAUGUAUGUUUGCAAAUAUGGUUGGUAAGUUAAAAUGCUAUGUAUAAAUGUUUUAAUUAAACAAUAUCUAGCUAUAACCGUUUGGCACCAAAUGUAAUAGCCUUAUACUGGGUCAGUACGAUUAGACCAUGUAUAGGGUUGUUACAAUUAUGGAAAUUUUAAAUUUUAAUUAUUUCACAUAAUUUUAACAUUUAACUACAACCAUAUCUAUUAUAUAUAUUAAAACUAAAAUAAUUAAUGCAUACAUAUAACCACAAUCAUAAUUAAUCAAUCAUUAUAAUGCACAAACGAAAGGAUUAUUGACCUAAAUCUACUUAUUUAACUGGGUAGGUAAGGGAUUUGGCCCCUUUAGUUAAAUGGGCAAAUCCUAUUUUUAGUUCUUCCUAAAUCUAUACUAUGUAUAAUGUAUUUAAUUAAGUCAGUGUCACAAGUUAAGCGGAUAUUGACUUAAUUGAGAAAUUACUAAAAGCUCUUUCCUUUUACAAAGAAACAAAAAUUAUUUUAAGGGUAUUUUUAUCUUUUUACAUUUUAUGUAAACACAAACUAUCAUGGUUUUUAGAAUUCUAAAUUUAUCAUUUCAACCAACCUCACAUUUAUUGUAAUGUAAAUUUUUUAUAUAAAAUAUGAUACGAUUUUUUUCCAUCAUUGAAAUUAACUUUAUAGUCUAUUGAAUAAAUAGAAAAUGUUUAUGUUUGGUCCAUCUUAAAAAUUAUAUUUAAUUUAAUUUAAUUUUUUUUAGUAACUUCACCUCACCCAUGUUGAAUGUAGAUAAAAUGAGAUCAUGGAGAAGGAAAAAGAAAAAAAAGUUAAACAGGGAAAAGAAUGUAGAGAAAAAAAGAUGGAAGGGGGAAAUGAAGAAAGAAACAAGAUGUCCCAUUGAUACUCUUUAUCUAU
RNAcentral lists this long non-coding RNA (2725 nucleotides) under Gossypium barbadense (sea-island cotton). RNAcentral describes it as "long non-coding RNA (GBAR_LNC019561)". Lineage: Eukaryota; Viridiplantae; Streptophyta; Magnoliopsida; Malvales; Malvaceae. The record is from RNAcentral.